Molecule: long non-coding RNA, 490 nt
Filed under: Anser brachyrhynchus (Pink-footed goose)
Lineage: Eukaryota; Metazoa; Chordata; Aves; Anseriformes; Anatidae
Description: lncRNA (ENSABRG00000008074.1)
Source: RNAcentral
UAAAACUAAGGUGAUCUGGAAAGCUCUCUGAAUUUAACUUGUGUGUUUCAAAUGGAUCUAACCUGAUCCUUUGCUGUUUUGUAAUCUUGUACUCUGCUUCUACCGUUAAGUGGUCAUUUAUGUAUGUGAAAACUUAGGUACUGGAACAUCUGUUGAGGCCUUGGAUAUGUGUAUCUGUGUGUUUGGGAUCUACCGUUUUUUGGUUGGAGAUGUUCAAGAAUUGGAUGAAACCCUGUGAGCUGCUUACCUGGUUUCAAGAUUACAAAGAAACUGCGGAGCACUAAUGGAACUGUCAAGAGGAAAAACACCAGCAGACCACAUGAAACCUAGCAGAAGGUCCCCUGGCAGAGCUGCAGGAGCAAAGGCUCAGAACAGGCACCAGGGAAGGGAAGGCAGAAGAGACAACAGUGCGAGAAUGCUGGAACGGAAAAAAUGGGAGCCAGUUACCCUCAGGAGUAUUGGUACUGACAUUUCGGUGGCAGCUGUAAAU